GCGGCACUANNGNNAGCGCGGUGGUCCCACCUGACCCCAUGCCGAACUCAGAAGUGAAACGCCGUAGCGCCGAUGGUAGUGUGGGGUCUCCCCAUGUGAGAGUAGGGAACUGCCAGGCAU
Molecule: ribosomal RNA, 120 nt
Filed under: Klebsiella pneumoniae subsp. pneumoniae ST258-K26BO
Lineage: Bacteria; Pseudomonadati; Pseudomonadota; Gammaproteobacteria; Enterobacterales; Enterobacteriaceae
Source: RNAcentral